AUAGGAUGAAGAACUAGUAGGAAAUGUCAGAAACAUAUACCACCCUGACGUUAAUAUUGUAUCAAACAGAUUCUAAAUAGACACCUAGAAAGCCUGCAGGAGUCAGAAGAAGCAGGAUUUUUAAAGAGUAACAACUGGCUUCCAAUUUAUCUCCCGCUAACCAAAAUUAAAGACGCUUCUCAGUUGAUAUAUGUAAGAGAUUCUCUGCUGUGCUAGAAAUUUAAUUUUUCCUAUUUCCAAAUCUGUACAUUUGUUGCUUCUAGCCAUUGAUUCCUUAUAACUAUCAACAAAAAAUUGCAUCUUCACAUCCUUUACUAAGGGGAGAUUGAGAAAAAGGUACAAAGUUACCAGCCAACAUAAAACUGAUUGAACUAACAAAUAUAUUAUUAUGGGAGCCCAGCUUUAAAUGGAGGGAAGAGAAAGACAGAUGACAAAAUCUAGAGUAACACAGAUAAAAGCAGUGGAGAGGAAAGAGAGGGGUGGUAGGAUAUAAGAUGACUUCAAGAAAAUGCCGCCUGUUUCUAUUAUAGUGAACUAGAAACUAAAUAAAUGUCAACUGUUACACAUUCAUUAAACAUAGUACUUUCAUUUAAACAGCAUAUAAUGAAGGCCUUGAAGACAGCAGUCUUGUAAUAAAAUGCAGGGACUCCAUAUCCUUAGUAAUAUUUAGGUUACUGGUCCAAGUCUAUGGUCACUGAUACUUGUUUCCAUUCAUUGUAAUGACACUUUUCUAAUAAAUUAGUUGCUCUUGCAAGUUUAAUAACCAGUAGUUCUUAAUAAUUUUUAAUAAUCCAUUAUCUGAACUAGAACUAUUUGGAACUCUUUAACAGUCUGAGUAGAGAGGUAGGAAUUUAAAAAAUAUUACAAGCUUACUAAAACAGAGUGUGGGUGCAUCAGGGGUAAGUGCCCAGGGCUGGGUACUGCCCUUGACCAGAAUUGUCCUCUAGGUGUCACCUCAUGUUAUUCUCACCUGCCAUGACUCUAAGUUUAAUUCACAUAACAGGAGGUAGUUCACUGUUAUUACACGCAAUCCUUCCGCAGGUAGGAUUUAUCACUUGCCCUAGUCACUAUCCAAAUUGGGACCUGUCCCUUUAAGGACUGCCUAGACUUGCUGGCUCGGCUGCCCCAUGUGUUUAAACAGGACACUGCUGGCUGGGACCUCUGCCGCCUGUAUACUUCCUCCACAUCCACUGCUGUAACAGAAAUAUACAAUAACAGAAAAAGCUGAGGCCAUCCAGCCCUUUCAUCAUAUCCCAAAGCAUUGCAGCUGGGAGCCUCCACUCCCUCUCACCCCCUUCUUUUAGUCAGAGACAGCUGCCUUUAAUUCUUCCAGACACCGGGUGACCAAUCAACUGGCCUUUCUGCCACACCCACAGGUGUUAAUGGCUCUCACUUCUUUUUAAUGGUCUUGACGUUUCACCAAUCAAGCGAUCCUUUGUCCUGCAAUUCUGCUAUCUGUUAGCUGCUCCUGGAAAUGAAGCUUCUAUUUCACAACUCUGCAGAUUGUUUUUAACUCUUUCCAAUGAAAUUUGCUUUUGUUUCUAUCUUAAGCUGCAUAAUACAGUGCUAGACCCCUAGCAUAUUAGUAAAGCUUCUAGUUUAUUUUUAACUGGAG
Molecule: long non-coding RNA, 1615 nt
Organism: Gavialis gangeticus (Gharial)
Lineage: Eukaryota; Metazoa; Chordata; Crocodylia; Gavialidae
Exons: 2
Source: RefSeq, a predicted model, not a curated record